AAUAGAUACCCAGGUAGUCCACGCCGUAAACGAUGAGUGCUAAGUGUUAGAGGGUUUCCGCCCUUUAGUGCUGCAGCCAACGCAUUAAGCACUCCGCCUGGGGAGUACGGUCGCAAGACUGAAACUCAAAGGAAUUGACGGGGGCCCGCACAAGCGGUGGAGCAUGUGGUUUAAUUCGAAGCAACGCGAAGAACCUUACCAGGUCUUGACAUCCCACUGACCGGUAUAGAGAUAUACCUUUCCCUUCGGGGACAGUGGUGACAGGUGGUGCAUGGUUGUCGUCAGCUCGUGUCGUGAGAUGUUGGGUUAAGUCCCGCAACGAGCGCAACCCUUGAUCUUAGUUGCCAGCAUUUAGUUGGGCACUCUAAGGUGACUGCCGGUGACAAACCGGAGGAAGGUGGGGAUGACGUCAAAUCAUCAUGCCCCUUAUGACCUGGGCUACACACGUGCUACAAUGGAUGGUACAAAGGGCUGCAAGACUGCGAAGUCAAGCCAAUCCAUAAAACCAUUCUCAGUUCGGAUUGCAGG
This 528-nucleotide ribosomal RNA is filed under the name uncultured bacterium. Its description in RNAcentral is "bacterial SSU rRNA". It matches the Rfam family "Bacterial small subunit ribosomal RNA", at positions 777 to 1304 of the family's 1533-position model. The record is from RNAcentral.